CGCGGGUGCACCGCCGACCGACC
This 23-nucleotide small RNA is filed under the name Arabidopsis thaliana (thale cress). RNAcentral describes it as "Ath_wt_09564". Lineage: Eukaryota; Viridiplantae; Streptophyta; Magnoliopsida; Brassicales; Brassicaceae. The record is from RNAcentral.